Long non-coding RNA from Harpia harpyja (harpy eagle), 264 nucleotides. RefSeq lists it as uncharacterized. Lineage: Eukaryota; Metazoa; Chordata; Aves; Accipitriformes; Accipitridae. The record is from RefSeq and is a predicted model, not a curated record. The transcript has 3 exons.
CGCCCAGCCAGAGCAGGGGGAUCGGCAUGCUGCCAACGUCCGCCUCGUCAUAAACACAUGAAGCCCCAAAAAGAAACUGAGCAAAUAUUUCCUAAGUUGCAACUUUCUGGGCCCUCUGAAUUGCAGAGAAGACCUGAAGAGCCUUGUGAGGAGUACAGAGCCACUAAAAGGAGUAAGAAAUAUUUCCAACAUGAAAGGCGCCUUUUCUACUUGCAUCAUAUGUAUAAUCUUGCCUUUCUUAAUAUGGCAUUGUCCAGGAGGUCA